This 592-nucleotide ribosomal RNA is filed under the name uncultured bacterium. RNAcentral's name for it is "bacterial SSU rRNA". It matches the Rfam family "Bacterial small subunit ribosomal RNA", at positions 8 to 616 of the family's 1533-position model. The record is from RNAcentral.
AGAGUUUGAUCCUGGCUCAGGACGAACGCUGGCGGCGGGCCUAACACAUGCAAGUCGAACGCACUCGACCUUCGGGUCACAUGAGUGAGUGGCGAACGGGUGAGUAACACGUGAGGAACCUGCCCCGAAGACUGGAAUAACCCGAGGAAACUCGGGCUAAUACCGGAUAUCCCCACCAGGUCGCAUGGCCAGGUGAGGAAAUGCUCCGGCGCUUCGGGAGGGUCUCGCGGCCUAUCAGCUAGUUGGUGAGGUAACGGCUCACCAAGGCAUCGACGGGUAGCUGGUCUGAGAGGACGAUCAGCCACACUGGGACUGAGACACGGCCCAGACUCCUACGGGAGGCAGCAGUGGGGAAUCUUGCGCAAUGGGCGAAAGCCUGACGCAGCCACGCCGCGUGAGGGAUGAAGGCUUUCGGGUUGUAAACCUCUUUCAGCAGGGACGAAAAUGACGGUACCUGCAGAAGAAGCUCCGGCCAACUACGUGCCAGCAGCCGCGGUAACACGUAGGGAGCAAGCGUUGUCCGGAUUUAUUGGGCGUAAAGAGCUCGUAGGCGGUUCAGUCAGUCGGGUGUGAAAACUUGAGGCUCAACCUC